RNAcentral lists this ribosomal RNA (548 nucleotides) under Glomus sp. VeGlo18. RNAcentral describes it as "SSU rRNA". It matches the Rfam family "Eukaryotic small subunit ribosomal RNA", at positions 548 to 1098 of the family's 1831-position model. Lineage: Eukaryota; Fungi; Glomeromycota; Glomeromycetes; Glomerales; Glomeraceae. The record is from RNAcentral.
UUGGAGGGCAAGUCUGGUGCCAGCAGCCGCGGUAAUUCCAGCUCCAAUAGCGUAUAUUAAAGUUGUUGCAGUUAAAAAGCUCGUAGUUGAAUUUCGGGACCAAUAUGUCGGUCGUGCCUCGGUACGUACUGGCAUCGUUGGUUUCUCCCUUCUGACGAACCAUGAUGUCAUUUAUUUGGUGUCGUGGGGAAUCAGGACUGUUACUUUGAAAAAAUUAGAGUGUUUAAAGCAGGCUCACGCUUGAAUACAUUAGCAUGGAAUAAUGAAAUAGGACGUUUGAUUCUAUUUUGUUGGUUUCUAGGAUCGACGUAAUGAUUAAUAGGGAUAGUUGGGGGCAUUAGUAUUCAAUUGUCAGAGGUGAAAUUCUUGGAUUUAUUGAAGACUAACUACUGCGAAAGCAUUUGCCAAGGAUGUUUUCAUUAAUCAAGAACGAAAGUUAGGGGAUCGAAGACGAUCAGAUACCGUCGUAGUCUUAACCAUAAACUAUGCCGACUAGGGAUCGGAUGAUGUUAAUUUUUUAAUGACUCAUUCGGCGCCUUACGGGAAAC